GGGGUUGUGGCUCAAUGGUAGAGUGCUUGCCUAACACGUAUGAAGCACUGGGUUCAAUUCUUAGCACCA
This 69-nucleotide transfer RNA is filed under the name Ictidomys tridecemlineatus (thirteen-lined ground squirrel). RNAcentral describes it as "Spermophilus tridecemlineatus (thirteen-lined ground squirrel) tRNA". It matches the Rfam family "tRNA". Rfam says of the family: Transfer RNA (tRNA) molecules are approximately 80 nucleotides in length. Their secondary structure includes four short double-helical elements and three loops (D, anti-codon, and T loops). Further hydrogen bonds mediate the characteristic L-shaped molecular structure. tRNAs have two regions of fundamental functional importance: the anti-codon, which is responsible for specific mRNA codon recognition, and the 3' end, to which the tRNAs corresponding amino acid is attached (by aminoacyl-tRNA synthetases). tRNAs cope with the degeneracy of the genetic code in two manners: having more than one tRNA (with a specific anti-codon) for a particular amino acid; and 'wobble' base-pairing, i.e. permitting non-standard base-pairing at the 3rd anti-codon position. The record is from Rfam by way of RNAcentral. Lineage: Eukaryota; Metazoa; Chordata; Mammalia; Rodentia; Sciuridae.